This is a non-coding RNA of Schistosoma mansoni, 42 nucleotides long. NCBI's taxonomy places the organism in Eukaryota, Metazoa, Platyhelminthes, Trematoda, Strigeidida, Schistosomatidae. The record is from Rfam.
AAGCUGACGAGUCCCAAAUAGGACGAAAUGCGCAUCCUGGAU